Molecule: ribosomal RNA, 520 nt
Filed under: uncultured Scutellospora
Lineage: Eukaryota; Fungi; Glomeromycota; Glomeromycetes; Diversisporales; Gigasporaceae
Description: SSU rRNA
Rfam family: Eukaryotic small subunit ribosomal RNA
Source: RNAcentral
AGCAGCCGCGGUAAUUCCAGCUCCAAUAGCGUAUAUUAAAGUUGUCGCAGUUAAAAAGCUCGUAGUUGAAUUUCGGGGUUCUACCGUUGGUCGGGCUAACCAGUCUGUACUAGCGUGUAGAAUUCCUACCUUCUGGGGAACCAUCAUGUUAUUAAUUUAGCGUGGUGGGAAACCAGGACCUUUACCUUGAAAAAAUUAGAGUGUUCAAAGCAGGCUUACGUCUGAAUACAUUAGCGUGGAAUAAUAAAAUAGGACGGUGGUCCUGUUUUGUUGGUUUCUGAAUCACCGUAAUGAUUAAUAGGGAUAGUUGGGGGCAUUAGUAUUCAAUUGUCAGAGGUGAAAUUCUUGGAUUUAUUGAAGACUAACUUCUGCGAAAGCAUUUGCCAAGGAUGUUUUCAUUAAUCAAGAACGAAAGUUAGGGGAUCGAAGACGAUCAGAUACCGUCGUAGUCUUAACCAUAAACUAUGCCGACUAGGGAUCGGACGAUGUUAAAUUUUAUUGACUCGUUCGGCGCCUUACG